Molecule: ribosomal RNA, 998 nt
Filed under: uncultured Actinomycetes bacterium
Lineage: Bacteria; Bacillati; Actinomycetota; Actinomycetes
Description: bacterial SSU rRNA
Rfam family: Bacterial small subunit ribosomal RNA
Source: RNAcentral
CAGCAGCCGCGGUAAUACGGGGGGGACUAGCGUUGUUCGGAUUUACUGGGCGUAAAGGGCGUGUAGGCGGGCUUAUAAGUCGGAUGUGAAAACUGGUGGCUCAACUGCCAGCCUGCAUCCGAUACUGUAGGUCUUGAGUACGGGAGAGGAGAGCGGAAUUCCAGGUGUAGCGGUGAAAUGCGUAGAUAUCUGGAAGAACACCCGUAGCGAAGGCGGCUCUCUGGCCCGAUACUGACGCUAAGGCGCGAAGGCUUGGGUAGCAAACAGGAUUAGAUACCCUGGUAGUCCAAGCGGUAAACGAUGGGCACUAGGUGUCGGGGGUAUCGAUCCCCUCGGUGCCGCAGCUAACGCAUUAAGUGCCCCGCCUGGGGAGUACGGUCGCAAGAUUGAAACUCAAAGGAAUUGACGGGACCCCGCACAAGCGGUGGAGUAUGUGGUUUAAUUCGAAGCAACGCGCAGAACCUUACCUGGGUUUGACAUGCUUGAGACAGCCGAUGAAAGUCGGUCUUCCCUUCGGGGACUCUUGCACAGGUGCUGCAUGGCUGUCGUCAGCUCGUGCCGUGAGGUGUUGGGUUAAGUCCCGCAACGAGCGCAACCCUUAUCCUUAGUUGCCAUCAGGUUAUGCUGGGAACUCUAAGGAGACUGCCGGUGAUAAACCGGAGGAAGGUGGGGAUGACGUCAAGUCCUCAUGGCCCUUACAUCCCGGGCUACACACGUGCUACAAUGGCAGGUACAAAGGGCUACAAUACCGCGAGGUGGAGCGAAUCCCAGAAAACCUGUCUCAGUUCGGAUUGCAGUCUGCAACUCGACUGCAUGAAGGCGGAAUCGCUAGUAAGCGCGGAUCAGCAGGCCGCGCUGAAUACGUUCCCGGGCCUUGUACACACCGCCCGUCAAGCGAUGGAAGCUGGGGGUACCCGAAGUCGGUGACCUAACCUUAGGGAUGGAGCCGCCGAAGGUAAAACCAGUGACUGGCGCUAAGUCGUAACAAGGUAGCCGUA